AGGAAUUAUUGUUGUCGAGGCUCUCUUUCCAUCGAAGAAAUUCUUACACCCAUCGAUAAAGGGUAUUGGCAGUAUCCUUGUAAAGCCCCCUUGUUGCAUCGUUAGUAGAGGGACUAACCGAAAACACCCUUGGACUCUCUGUACGGCCUCUGGCAAUAGUUAACGCCUUCGUUGUCCUGGUCUUCCGCUACAUUCUCGGAGCCCUCUACCGCAACCGAACCCGAGCCCGCAAAGGGCGCCACAUGCAUUUCAAUUAACGGCCACCGAAAGCACUUCAAGCGCAAAAAACACGUACUACCCAGGUAUCGCCUUCCGCCCAUCGCCACGCCCACACAGAGGUAGCAACAGCUGCAGCAGCAGCAGCAACAACCUGGGAAAGGCUUCAAGGGGUGAAGGGGAACCUCCUCCUAUCCUACAUAUCCACAUUGUUUAUGCUGCGCGGCUGCACUUUAUCAAAGCGCCAGGCGAAAGCUAAAAACAAACUGCGGUCGCCCAACGCCAUUUUGACUUCCAGGCAGACGCCACCUUUUUUUUUGGAUUACCCUACAAAUAGGGUAUGUCUUCCAAGGCGUCAAUUUGGUAAAUGAAAUUGGUAGUGUGCUUUAACUUCUAGGAUAUUUCGUCUUCGUUCUGGCCAAGUUGUUGUACCUUCCUUGUUCCUUUUUUGCAUUUUGUUUGCCACCUUGCAACCGGUGCACUUUGAUACUGUUUUGUAACUGGCAAGCUACAUGGCAAGGGAAUGAGUAAGGAGGUAGGGAGUACAUGGAUAAGAGGGUUACAAAACAUCCCGGGUUUUCCAAGUAAAAAGCUUUUCAGCUACGUGUGCACGCACUUCCGUUUCUUGUUGUCUGUGGGCCCUGUCCGAGCAGGGCUACCCAACGCCACAAGGCUGUUUGGUUAGCCCCCUAGUAGUUUCAUGGCUUUUCCAUAUUCUACCCUAUUCCUGUUUUUCAUUGAAGGAAAAUUUUGUCAGCUGCAUAUGCAAGCAAUUACCGCAAAAUAAAAGGUAAACAAAAUUACUUCCGAGUAAUUUCGCGUGCAAAAACACGACUGAAUUACAUACACAUAGGAUUCCACUCCCCCUGCAACAACUGGUAUAAUUUUUAUCACUCCUUCAGCCACCCGCAUCCACACAUAAUAGUAAAAAUAUAACUUAUGAUUCUUUUUGAC
RNAcentral lists this long non-coding RNA (1170 nucleotides) under Drosophila guanche. The record is from RNAcentral. Lineage: Eukaryota; Metazoa; Arthropoda; Insecta; Diptera; Drosophilidae.